This 45-nucleotide non-coding RNA is filed under the name Schistosoma mattheei. The record is from RNAcentral. Lineage: Eukaryota; Metazoa; Platyhelminthes; Trematoda; Strigeidida; Schistosomatidae.
AUCCAUCUGACGAGUCCAAAAUACGACGAAACGCGCGUCCUGGAU